Molecule: long non-coding RNA, 548 nt
Filed under: Brassica napus (rape)
Lineage: Eukaryota; Viridiplantae; Streptophyta; Magnoliopsida; Brassicales; Brassicaceae
Description: long non-coding RNA (BNAP_LNC001282)
Source: RNAcentral
UUAAUUUAUUUAUAGAUUUUGAGAAGAUUUAAGCAUAUAAUAAAUUUUAAAAAUUAAAAAAUAAUUUAAAUUUGUUAUCCGAACCCUAACCCGAAUCGAGCCCACAAAGAUCUGAACCGGAACCGAACCCGAACCAAAAUUUAGAAAUAUCCAAAUGGGGAUGAAAUCUUUGAAUUCAAAAUCCAAAACUCGAAUAGACCCGAACCGAACUCGAAUGGGUACCCGACCAUUCAUCCCUAACUCGGCGAAUCCACUUCGCAAUCUCAAAAGGAAUUCCCAAACAUGAGUCACUCUUUUAUAGAUAGAAACAACACAACACCAACGUUUAAAUUUGCUCUACUUUAUAAUAUUUUUUUGGUUUGGUCUUAAACAUGACUAAUUAAUUUGGACUUAUCGCUUGAAUGGUUUAGGAAAGCAGUUCUGUUUUCUUAUCUUACAUAAAUUGAAAAUAUGAAUUCAAUAUCACAACAAAAUCAAGCUCUAAUCAGACACACAACAUAAUACAUCUGUGUAUUUUAGUCCAUCUCACAGUCUUAUACUAAAUGGUC